Long non-coding RNA from Daphnia pulex (common water flea), 1305 nucleotides. RefSeq lists it as uncharacterized. The record is from RefSeq and is a predicted model, not a curated record. The transcript is spliced from 3 exons. Lineage: Eukaryota; Metazoa; Arthropoda; Branchiopoda; Diplostraca; Daphniidae.
UGGUGUGUGUGUUUUUAAUUGAAUGAAAUGAUUAUAAUAAUUGUUUUACUUUACCUUGAUUCUCGCAGAUGACUAUAUACGUCCAACUUCAACGAACAAGUCAAUGAUUUGCUUUCGUGAGAUGACUUUCCUUUUUAUAUUGGCCGGCUGCUGCUGCUGGGACUCGGGACGCUGAUGAUGAAGCACCAAACCCUUAUUAGAAGAUUCGCCUUCCAUAUCUAAUUAACAUGUAUGCUGCGAUGAAUCGAGCAAUAACCGCACUUGGAAAAAGGGAGGAGACAAAUCAAUCGGACCAGCAGAUGUCGGGAAUUGGUAAAUUUUUGGCGAGGACACAGAGGAAUAUAUAAGAGUAAGAACAGAAGCACGGUCCCCAAUAACUCUCAACACCGGUUAUUCCGGCUAAACGGACACCUUGUAUAGACCGAUGUAUAUAGAUAUGCUGUCCAACCGACCCUUGUAUACACAAGUGCACAUCAUCCAACUCGAUCCAACUAAAAAAACCUGGGCCAUCCAGCGAUUACGCGUCGUUGAUGCAUCUGACAUUCGAUACAUUAUAUCCUUGUCCAUUACAGCCUGAAUUGUCCAUGGCAUCCAACAUGUUUUCUGCAUUUGCCUCACAUUUAUCUUGUAUAGAGAAAACCAGUUUUGACGUGUGGCCAAAGAUUUUUCUGUUUCGUUGCAGGAUGAGUCAACGCCCUUUGCAGUUUUCUUGUGCGUGUAUGUACCAAAGUGCAGUUCACUUUACCUUGAAAUAUUUUAUUGAUUAUUCUUCAACAUUUUUUGAUUUAUUCUCCAACUUUGCUCUCCAUUUCAUUUCGUUUCUUUUUCUAAUUUUUAUUAUGGCGUUGUACCAGGAGUUGGGAAUACUUUUAUGGCAACAUUUUAUUAAUGGAAAUGUAUAGAAUUGGUAAGAGACAUUUUCGAGACUGUGGAGAGCCAUCACUAACAUCAACAGUCAAAGGAGUUGACCACUAAAACAAAUAUUAUGGAAAUUUUACUCGUAACGUCCAAGGGGUAGCCAUAACUUUCUGUUGUGACUUUGAAGUUGGGCCUUUUUACAAAUCUAACGUAGCACAUGCUGAGGAGUAGUCGAACAAAGGUUGUGGAGGCCGGAGAUGUUUCCCCAUCACAUGUUAUUGUUGGCAGACAAUUUAUUUUUGCUCCGACUUCCCUCAUUAGAGUAAAUGGAUUUCGCGACGUAAGAGGGUAAGAAUCAGUUUGAUUUUAAUAACUGCUUGUUAAAACGACUGAUACGAUUGCACGAGUGAAUAUGAUGCUGAUGUGCCCUUUUCCACAUAAUGCAGU